GAGGGUACAGCUCAGUGGCAGAGUGCAUGCCUAAUAUGCAUGAGGUCCGGGGUUCGACCCCCAGUACCUCCA
Molecule: transfer RNA, 72 nt
Filed under: Camelus bactrianus (Bactrian camel)
Lineage: Eukaryota; Metazoa; Chordata; Mammalia; Artiodactyla; Camelidae
Also listed under: 1 other name
Rfam family: tRNA
About the family: Transfer RNA (tRNA) molecules are approximately 80 nucleotides in length. Their secondary structure includes four short double-helical elements and three loops (D, anti-codon, and T loops). Further hydrogen bonds mediate the characteristic L-shaped molecular structure. tRNAs have two regions of fundamental functional importance: the anti-codon, which is responsible for specific mRNA codon recognition, and the 3' end, to which the tRNAs corresponding amino acid is attached (by aminoacyl-tRNA synthetases). tRNAs cope with the degeneracy of the genetic code in two manners: having more than one tRNA (with a specific anti-codon) for a particular amino acid; and 'wobble' base-pairing, i.e. permitting non-standard base-pairing at the 3rd anti-codon position.
Source: Rfam by way of RNAcentral